GCAAAGCUGACAGGCUUACUCCCCAGGUUUAAAGUAAAACUCCCCCCGAAUGAAAUCCAGCACAAAUCCUCACUAAAUGGAGAUAUGGUUAUUGUUAGUGCUAUAGUAGAGCCCAGGAAGGCUCCUCUCCAGGACUGCAUCAGACUGCAGGGAUUCAGACAUGCCAGGUGAAGAAAAUGUCAGUCAGGAAAAUGGACAACCUGCUGGAGAUUAGUUCAGAGCCAGCGACUCCCUUCUAAGGGGUGAGCAUACAUUCACUAACAGCUAAAAUGAAAUCUCAGUUUUUGUUGCUCUGCUUUGUACUUCUGGUUGUUUCCAAUGUGUUGAUUACCAGUCCAGUCAUGCUCAUUUGCCUCUUGCCCCUGGAACUUCUCAAGUUCAAAUAAAGAAAUGGUUAUUGGCAUUAUUACA
This is a long non-coding RNA of Vidua chalybeata, 411 nucleotides long. RefSeq lists it as uncharacterized. The record is from RefSeq and is a predicted model, not a curated record. The transcript has 2 exons. Lineage: Eukaryota; Metazoa; Chordata; Aves; Passeriformes; Viduidae.